UGCCAGCCUCCGGUGAUGAGCAGAGUGA
RNAcentral lists this non-coding RNA (28 nucleotides) under Homo sapiens (human). The record is from RNAcentral. Lineage: Eukaryota; Metazoa; Chordata; Mammalia; Primates; Hominidae.